UCCACAACAAGAAAGUGUGCUGGUGAUCAGAUACCAUUCUACUCUGCUUCUAUGAUACUCAAACUACGUGAUAUAUUUAUUACUCAUACAGCAAAGAUUGAAGGGGAAAAACCUCACUACUCAUGCAAGAACAAAAUCAAAAUCAGACAUGCCUCAUAAGGAGAGGAGGAAGAAACAGCUAGAAAAGGAGCUGUGUGAGGCUGCUAAAGGCAGUGGAUCCCUCACCAGCUGGAUUACAAAAAGCACAGAUAAACAGCAAGUGGAGGGUGAUAGUUCAGAUGAGGAGAUGGAAGGAAUGUAGAGGAAAGGGCAAGCCAGGAGAAAAAGACUGGAGUGAGAAAGUCAGAGAGUGAGCCCUCCAGCAAUAUCCUCAACAGGAGCAGCAGUAAUCCCUCAACAGCAACAUUGUACGCCAUCAGAAAUGUAUAUAUCUACACAUGUCGUUCCCUACUCAUGUCAUUCCUGAGCUGCCAGUGAUCCAGACUCCUUCUGCCCUCCAGACCUGUCUGACUCAUCCUGGUGCCCCGAUUCUGG
Long non-coding RNA from Clarias gariepinus (North African catfish), 534 nucleotides. RefSeq lists it as uncharacterized. The record is from RefSeq and is a predicted model, not a curated record. The transcript is spliced from 4 exons. NCBI's taxonomy places the organism in Eukaryota, Metazoa, Chordata, Actinopteri, Siluriformes, Clariidae.